RNAcentral lists this ribosomal RNA (479 nucleotides) under uncultured bacterium. Its description in RNAcentral is "partial 16S ribosomal RNA". It matches the Rfam family "Bacterial small subunit ribosomal RNA", at positions 28 to 523 of the family's 1533-position model. The record is from RNAcentral.
GACGAACGCUGGCGGCAUGCUUAACACAUGCAAGUCGAACGGUAAGGCCCUUCGGGGGUACACGAGUGGCGAACGGGUGAGUAACACGUGGGUGAUCUGCCCUGCACUUCGGGAUAAGCCUGGGAAACUGGGUCUAAUACCGGAUAGGACCCUGGGAUGCAUGUCCUGGGGUGGAAAGCUUUUGCGGUGUGGGAUGGGCCCGCGGCCUAUCAGCUUGUUGGUGGGGUGAUGACCUACCAAGGCGACGACGGGUAGCCGGCCUGAGAGGGUGACCGGCCACACUGGGACUGAGAUACGGCCCAGACUCCUACGGGAGGCAGCAGUGGGGAAUAUUGCACAAUGGGCGCAAGCCUGAUGCAGCGACGCCGCGUGAGGGAUGACGGCCUUCGGGUUGUAAACCUCUUUCAGCACCGACGAAGCGCAAGUGACGGUAGGUGCAGAAGAAGGACCGGCCAACUACGUGCCAGCCGCCGCAGUAA